Molecule: ribosomal RNA, 1485 nt
Filed under: Salmonella enterica subsp. enterica serovar Stanleyville
Lineage: Bacteria; Pseudomonadati; Pseudomonadota; Gammaproteobacteria; Enterobacterales; Enterobacteriaceae
Description: partial 23S ribosomal RNA
Rfam family: Bacterial large subunit ribosomal RNA
Source: RNAcentral
AGACCCGAAACCCGGUGAUCUAGCCAUGGGCAGGUUGAAGGUUGGGUAACACUAACUGGAGGACCGAACCGACUAAUGUUGAAAAAUUAGCGGAUGACCUGUGGCUGGGGGUGAAAGGCCAAUCAAACCGGGAGAUAGCUGGUUCUCCCCGAAAGCUAUUUAGGUAGCGCCUCGUGAAUUCAUCUCCGGGGGUAGAGCACUGUUUCGGCUAGGGGGCCAUCCCGGCUUACCAACCCGAUGCAAACUGCGAAUACCGGAGAAUGUUAUCACGGGAGACACACGGCGGGUGCUAACGUCCGUCGUGAAGAGGGAAACAACCCAGACCGCCAGCUAAGGUCCCAAAGUCAUGGUUAAGUGGGAAACGAUGUGGGAAGGCCCAGACAGCCAGGAUGUUGGCUUAGAAGCAGCCAUCAUUUAAAGAAAGCGUAAUAGCUCACUGGUCGAGUCGGCCUGCGCGGAAGAUGUAACGGGGCUAAACCAUGCACCGAAGCUGCGGCAGCGACACUGUGUGUUGUUGGGUAGGGGAGCGUUCUGUAAGCCUGCGAAGGUGGCCUGUGAGGGUUGCUGGAGGUAUCAGAAGUGCGAAUGCUGACAUAAGUAACGAUAAAGCGGGUGAAAAGCCCGCUCGCCGGAAGACCAAGGGUUCCUGUCCAACGUUAAUCGGGGCAGGGUGAGUCGACCCCUAAGGCGAGGCCGAAAGGCGUAGUCGAUGGGAAACGGGUUAAUAUUCCCGUACUUGGUGUUACUGCGAAGGGGGGACGGAGAAGGCUAUGUUGGCCGGGCGACGGUUGUCCCGGUUUAAGCGUGUAGGCUGGUUUUCCAGGCAAAUCCGGAAAAUCAAGGCUGAGGCGUGACGACGAGGCACUACGGUGCUGAAGCAACAAAUGCCCUGCUUCCAGGAAAAGCCUCUAAGCAUCAGGUAACAUCAAAUCGUACCCCAAACCGACACAGGUGGUCAGGUAGAGAAUACCAAGGCGCUUGAGAGAACUCGGGUGAAGGAACUAGGCAAAAUGGUGCCGUAACUUCGGGAGAAGGCACGCUGACAUGUAGGUGAAGUGAUUUACUCAUGGAGCUGAAGUCAGUCGAAGAUACCAGCUGGCUGCAACUGUUUAUUAAAAACACAGCACUGUGCAAACACGAAAGUGGACGUAUACGGUGUGACGCCUGCCCGGUGCCGGAAGGUUAAUUGAUGGGGUCAGCGCAAGCGAAGCUCCUGAUCGAAGCCCCGGUAAACGGCGGCCGUAACUAUAACGGUCCUAAGGUAGCGAAAUUCCUUGUCGGGUAAGUUCCGACCUGCACGAAUGGCGUAAUGAUGGCCAGGCUGUCUCCACCCGAGACUCAGUGAAAUUGAACUCGCUGUGAAGAUGCAGUGUACCCGCGGCAAGACGGAAAGACCCCGUGAACCUUUACUAUAGCUUGACACUGAACAUUGAGCCUUGAUGUGUAGGAUAGGUGGGAGGCUUUGAAGCGUGGACGCCAGUCUGC